This 1010-nucleotide long non-coding RNA is filed under the name Chrysemys picta bellii (western painted turtle). RNAcentral describes it as "lncRNA (ENSCPBG00000001456.1)". The record is from RNAcentral. Lineage: Eukaryota; Metazoa; Chordata; Testudines; Emydidae.
CAGAAAUGACUAAAAUACAUCUUUGACUGGAUCUAUGAAUAAAUCUAUGACUGGGUUUGGACAGGCAAAACAAUGAAUGAUGUAAUCUGAAGCUGGUAUUGCGUCAUACAUGAUAUGAAUUGCAUCAUGUUAUUCCUAUUACUCAUGGAUGAUGCAAUCAUAACAAAGCUUACAUCACUCUGCAGAACAAAUUACCCUAUAUCAGCUCUAGAAAUCAUACGGUGUCAUGCUCUCUUAUUUGUCAGUGUUUGAUUUUGCAAAGGGACACAUUUCUGUUUAGCCAAAGUGAGCAGAGAUGCCUCGUACUUGUGUGAACAGUGCAGAUAACUUCUGCUAUGUUUGUGGUGAAGUGACUUUUGUAUCACAAAAGCGCAGUAUAACCACUAUGGUUAAGAAAGCCUAUCACCUUUAUUUUGGCUGCAAAAUUGACGAUCAGGACAAGAGGUGGGCCCCACACAUAUGCUGCAACACUUGUGCAACAAAUCUUCGCCAGUGGUUGAACAGGAAAAGGAAAUCUAUGCCUUUUGCAGUGCCAAUGAUUUGGAGAGAGCCAAUAGAUCAUACCAGUAAUUGUUACUUCUGCAUGGUGCCUCCAGUUGGGAAAGGUGUGUCAAAGAAGAAAAAGUGGACUGUGUAUUAUCCAAACAUUCCAUCAGCUAUACGCCCAGUACCCCAUGGAGAAGGACUGACGGUUCCUGAUGCACCAGAAUCAUUCUCACUUGAGUCAGACGAGGAAAAGGAAGAGGGUGAAACUUCUGGUCCUGAACCAUCAAUGUCACAGGACCCACAUUUUCUCCCAUCCUCCUCCUCUGAACCACACCUCAUAACACAAGGUGAACUGAAUCCUUUGUCAGGGAUUUGGAACUACCCAAGAGUAAGGCAGAGCUGUUGGGCUCCAGACUACAACAGUGGAAUCUCCUGGCAGGUGAUGUUAUGGUUUCCAUGUUCCGUGACCGUCAAAAGGAUCUUGUCCCAUUCUUCUUCACGGAAGGUGAUCUUGUAGCCUGCAA